GAAAUGCGAUAAGUAAUGUGAAUUGCAGAAUUCAGUGAAUCAUCGAAUCUUUGAACGCAUCUUGCGCUCCUUGGUAUUCCUUGGAGCAUGCCUGUUUGAGUAUCAUGAAAUCUUCAAAGUAAAUCUUUUGUUAACUCAAUUGGUUUCUACUUUGGUAUUGGAGGUCUUUGCAGCUUCACACCUGCUCCUCUUUGUUCAUUAGCUGGAUCUCAGUGUUAUGCUUGGUUCCACUCGGCGUGAUAAGUUAUCUAUCGCUGAGGACACUGUAAAAGGUGGCCAAGGUAAAUGCAGAUGAACCGCUUCUAAUAGUCCAUUGACUUGGACAAUACUUUUAUGAUCUGAUCUCAAAUCAGGUAGAACUACCCGCUGAACUUAAGC
RNAcentral lists this unclassified non-coding RNA (378 nucleotides) under plant metagenome. RNAcentral describes it as "partial contains 5.8S ribosomal RNA, internal transcribed spacer 2, and large subunit ribosomal RNA". The stretch from base 1 to 105 matches the Rfam family "5.8S ribosomal RNA", at positions 50 to 154 of the family's 154-position model. The record is from RNAcentral.